GACAGAGGGGGCAAGCGUUGCUCGGAAUUACUGGGCGUAAAGGGCGCGUAGGCGGGACGGAAAGUCGGUCGUGAAAUCCUCCGGCUCAACCGGAGAACGGCGAUCGAUACUUCCGUUCUUGAGGGUUGCAGAGGAGACUGGAAUUCCCGGUGUAGCGGUGAAAUGUGUAGAGAUCGGGAGGAACACCGGUGGCGAAGGCGGGUCUCUGGGCAACUCCUGACGCUGAGGCGCGAAAGCGUGGGGAGCAAACGGG
Molecule: ribosomal RNA, 253 nt
Filed under: uncultured bacterium
Lineage: Bacteria
Also listed under: 1 other name
Description: partial 16S ribosomal RNA
Rfam family: Bacterial small subunit ribosomal RNA
Source: RNAcentral